RNAcentral lists this ribosomal RNA (378 nucleotides) under uncultured eukaryote. RNAcentral's name for it is "SSU rRNA". It matches the Rfam family "Eukaryotic small subunit ribosomal RNA", at positions 587 to 969 of the family's 1831-position model. The record is from RNAcentral.
AGCUCCAAUAGCGUAUAUUAAAGUUGUUGCAGUUAAAAAGCUCGUAGUUGGAUCUCGGGUCCAGGCUUGCGGUCCGACGCACGUCGGUUACUGCUCGUCCUGACCUACCUCCCGGUUUGCCCUUGGUGCUCUUGACUGAGUGUCUCGGGUGGCCGGAACGUUUACUUUGAAAAAAUUAGAGUGUUCAAAGCAGGCAAUUCGCCUGAAUAAUGGUGCAUGGAAUAAUGGAAUAGGACCUCGGUUCUAUUUUGCUGGUUUUCGGAGCUUGAGGUAAUGAUUAAGAGGGACGGACGGGGGCAUUCGUAUUACGGUGUUAGAGGUGAAAUUCUUGGAUCGCCGUAAGACGAACUACUGCGAAAGCAUUUGCCAAGAAUGUUU